UACCCGGUGGCCAACUGGGUUACGCUUUUGGCUUUCACCCACAAGGUCAGGGGUUCAAACCCCCGGUGGCAAA
This is a non-coding RNA of Caenorhabditis brenneri, 73 nucleotides long. NCBI's taxonomy places the organism in Eukaryota, Metazoa, Nematoda, Chromadorea, Rhabditida, Rhabditidae. The record is from the annotation of a GenBank genome assembly.